Molecule: long non-coding RNA, 839 nt
Organism: Cyprinus carpio (common carp)
Lineage: Eukaryota; Metazoa; Chordata; Actinopteri; Cypriniformes; Cyprinidae
Source: Ensembl
CUAGCAACUAGCUCUUGCUCAAGACCAGCUAAAACCAGAUGCCAUGUUUCAAAACAUACCUUAUCAGCAUGCUGCUUUUUUUUUUUUUUUUUAACAGGGGGGCGUGGCAAGUUAAUACCGCCCAUACUCUACACACUGUUGAAUUCCUUUUGUUUUCAUAAAAUAGCUACAUCUGUCUUAAAGGCAUUGCAGCAGCUCUCUAUCAACGCAUAUCUUUUACAGGAGGUCACAGAACAUCGCAUACAAAAAAUGUCAAGUUGGGGCAACCUGGAUGAAGUGGGUGAAGAGUGGUGGGACAAUGCAUAUAAGUUGUUUCUUGAAAGUGAACCAAUAAGAACCACCCUGAAAGGGCAAUUCUGGUGGUGAUUUCCAGAACGAGGAGAAUGGAGUGGGGUGACUGGAAGAAGCUACGUCAGGCAUCUUCUGAACCUAAGGAUCUAGACAGCAGUGACAAGACACUUAUAAACUGGGUUACUGACCUGGUGUAUAAUGAGGACGGCAGCCCUAAACCAUUCAACAGAAAGACUUAACGAUAUUAAUGAUAAUCAGAAUGAUGUCAGAAUGUUAGCCAAAGUUCUGUUCAAAGCUGUUUUUAUUAUAUGGCUUUUCCUAAUAUUAUUAUUAAUAGUUCCAUCAGUUAAUCAUUCAUACAGUAGUUAAUCAUUUGCAUUUACAUUUGCAUCUAUAAGAGACUAUUGCAUGCUUUCAAAAGCGUUUAUCAUGUUUGUUUGAGAACGUCCAUAGGUCCAUAGUAAUGAUCACUUAUUCAUCGUUAACUCAAAAUCAAGGUCUUCUUUUGUUUUUAUCUGCAGUUAAAAUAAAGCAAUGAUGUAUGUCCA